Molecule: ribosomal RNA, 440 nt
Filed under: uncultured bacterium
Lineage: Bacteria
Description: partial 16S ribosomal RNA
Rfam family: Bacterial small subunit ribosomal RNA
Source: RNAcentral
CCUACGGGAGGCAGCAGUAGGGAAUAUUGCUCAAUGGGGGAAACCCUGAAGCAGUAACGCCGCGUGAAGGAUGAAGUUUUUCGGAUUGUAAACUCCUAUCGUCAGAGAAGAUAAUGACGGUAUCUUACGUAUGAGCACCGGCUAACUCCGUGCCAGCAGCCACGGUAAUACGGAGGGGGCAAGCGUUACUCGGAAUCCCUGGGCGUAAAGAGCGCGUAGGCGGGAUAGCAAGACAGAUGUGAAAUCCUAUGGCUUAACCAUAGAACUGCCUUUGAAACUGUUAUGCUAGAGUGUGGGAGAGGUAGGUGGAAUUCUUGGUGUAGGGGUAAAAUCCGUAGAGAGCAAGAGGAAUACCAGUGGCGAAGGCGACCUGCUAGAACAUAACUGACGCUGAUGCGCGAAAGCGUGGGGAGCAAACAGGAUUAGAUACCCCUGUAGUC